AAUAGAUACCCUGGUAGUCCACGCCGUAAACGAUGAGUGCUAAGUGUUAGGGGGUUUCCGCCCCUUAGUGCUGCAGCUAACGCAUUAAGCACUCCGCCUGGGGAGUACGGUCGCAAGACUGAAACUCAAAGGAAUUGACGGGGGCCCGCACAAGCGGUGGAGCAUGUGGUUUAAUUCGAAGCAACGCGAAGAACCUUACCAGGUCUUGACAUCCCAUUGACCGCUAUGGAGACAUGGCUUUCCCUUCGGGGACAGUGGUGACAGGUGGUGCAUGGUUGUCGUCAGCUCGUGUCGUGAGAUGUUGGGUUAAGUCCCGCAACGAGCGCAACCCUUGUUCUUAGUUGCCAUCAUUUAGUUGGGCACUCUAAGGAGACUGCCGGUGACAAACCGGAGGAAGGUGGGGAUGACGUCAAAUCAUCAUGCCCCUUAUGACCUGGGCUACACACGUGCUACAAUGGACGGUACAAACGGUUGCCAACCCGCGAGGGGGAGCUAAUCCGAUAAAACCGUUCUCAGUUCGGAUUGUAGGCUGCAACUCGCCUAC
RNAcentral lists this ribosomal RNA (544 nucleotides) under uncultured bacterium. RNAcentral's name for it is "bacterial SSU rRNA". It matches the Rfam family "Bacterial small subunit ribosomal RNA", at positions 777 to 1319 of the family's 1533-position model. The record is from RNAcentral.